Molecule: transfer RNA, 73 nt
Filed under: Myxococcales bacterium
Lineage: Bacteria; Pseudomonadati; Myxococcota; Myxococcia; Myxococcales
Also listed under: 1 other name
Description: tRNA-Ala
Rfam family: tRNA
About the family: Transfer RNA (tRNA) molecules are approximately 80 nucleotides in length. Their secondary structure includes four short double-helical elements and three loops (D, anti-codon, and T loops).
Source: RNAcentral
GGGCCUGUAGCUCAGCUGGGAGAGCGCUAGAAUCGCACUCUAGAGGUCAUCGGUUCGAUCCCGAUCAGGUCCA